AUACAUGCCUGGUGCCCUGGGAGAAUAAAGAGGGUGUUGGAUCCUCUAGAACUUGGGUUAUGGAUAACUGGAAGUCACAACGUGGGUCUUCUGCAAGAGCGACAAGUGCUCUUAACCACUGAACCGUCUCUCUGGUCCCUUUGCCAAAUUCUUAAGAAGGUUUAGGCAGAAAUUUAGUAAGAAGUCUCCAGUUGGGGGCUAGAGAGGUGGCUCGGUGGUUAAGGCUACCGAGUGCUCUUCAGAGGCCUUGAAUUUAGCACACAAGCACUGUGACUCCGACUUUAGGGCAUUUGAUGAGCUCCUCUGCCCUUCACAGGCACAUACAUAAACUCUGUCUUAAAGAAAAAGGUUUCCAUUGCUAUAGAAUAACCUUUGUCUUCUCUCUCUCCUAAGGAAGCUCGCUUUUUGGUUAGAUCCAUAGAGCACCUGAGGCACAUUCUUAAUCCGCAUGUUCAAAAUGGCAUCUCGUUGAUGAUGUGGAACACAUUCCUGGUGAAAAGGUUUUCUGCUGCUACCUACUUAAUGGAUAAGGUGAGGUGGUCUUAAUUUUCACACACUGAUUUCUUAAUUUAGUUCCCUUCAUUACUUGGUAUUAGAAAGGUUGCUUACACUGGGGUGUGUAGACAGUUGGUGGACUGUGUUUCUGGUUGUCAGUUGAACUGUGUUUUUCUCCUGCUCAGUUAAAUGUACUUCCUUGGAGUAAUAUUUUACAAUUACAUAAUUAUAGUAUUAAAAAAUAUAAUUAAAAU
This 749-nucleotide long non-coding RNA is filed under the name Rattus norvegicus (Norway rat). RNAcentral describes it as "long non-coding RNA NONRATT008534". Lineage: Eukaryota; Metazoa; Chordata; Mammalia; Rodentia; Muridae. The record is from RNAcentral.